AGAUGCAUGUGUGCAUGUGCAUGUUCUCGUACAUGCACAUGCAUGUGGCAUGCACACAUUCUUACACAGAUAUACACACUGUCACAUAUAUGUUUG
Molecule: microRNA precursor, 96 nt
Filed under: Octodon degus (degu)
Lineage: Eukaryota; Metazoa; Chordata; Mammalia; Rodentia; Octodontidae
Description: miRNA (ENSODEG00000022266.1)
Source: RNAcentral